This 425-nucleotide ribosomal RNA is filed under the name uncultured cyanobacterium. Its description in RNAcentral is "bacterial SSU rRNA". It matches the Rfam family "Bacterial small subunit ribosomal RNA", at positions 356 to 795 of the family's 1533-position model. Lineage: Bacteria; Bacillati; Cyanobacteriota. The record is from RNAcentral.
GGGGAAUUUUCCGCAAUGGGGGAAAGCCGCCCGGAGCAAGACCGCGUGAGGGAGGAAGAACCUUGGGUGGUAAACCUCUUUUUUCAUGGAAGAAGAAAAUGACGGUACCAGAGGAAUAAGCAUCGGCUAACUCCGUGCCAGCAGCCGCGGUAAGACGGAGGAUGCAAGCGUUAUCCGGAAUUAUUGGGCGUAAAGGGUCCGCAGGUGGUUUCUCAAGUCGGCAGUCAAAGACCGGAGCUUAACUUCGGAAAGGCUGUGGAAACUGAUAGACUAGAGAGCGGUAGGGGCAAGGGGAAUUCCCGGUGUAGCGGUGAAAUGCGUAGAAUAUGGGAAGAACACCGGUGGCGAAAGCGCCUUAGCUGACCUCAUCUGACACUCAGGUACGAAAGCUAGGGGAGCGAAWGGGAUUAGAUACCCCWGUAGUC